AACGAACGCUGGCGGCGCGCCUAAUACAUGCAAGUCGAGCGAGAAGACGUAGCAAUACGUUUGUAAAGCGGCGAACGGGUGAGGGAAUACAUGGGUAACCUACCCUCGAGUGGGGAAUAACUAGCCGAAAGGUUAGCUAAUACCGCGUACGCUCCUUGGACUUCGGUUCAGGGAGGAAAGCGAUACCGCGGGUAUCGCGCUCUUGGAUGGGCUCAUGUCCUAUCAGCUUGUUGGUGAGGAACGGCUCACCAAGGCUUCGACGGGUAGCUGGUCUGAGAGGACGAUCAGCCACACUGGCACUGCGACACGGGCCAGACUCCUACGGGAGGCAGCAGUAAGGAAUAUUGACGCAAUGGGCGAAAGCCUGACGCAGCGACGCCGCGUGGGGGA
Molecule: ribosomal RNA, 390 nt
Filed under: uncultured bacterium
Lineage: Bacteria
Description: bacterial SSU rRNA
Rfam family: Bacterial small subunit ribosomal RNA
Source: RNAcentral